UAUCAGCACACAGGGAGCACAGAACUGUAGACCGCUCACCCCAGGGGACCCCGCCCAGAGCUGGGAGAGGUCCUGGGCAGCUGCCAUGGGCCCCAGGCUCCUCUGCUGUGUGGCCCUUUGUCUCCUGGGAGCAGGCCCAGUGGACUCUGGAGUCACGCAGACCCCAAAACACCUGAUCAAAGCAAAAAAACAGCAAGCGACGCUGGGGUGUUCCUACAUCUCUGGGCACCGCUACAUGUUUUGGUACCAACAGGCCUGGGGCCAGGGACCCGUGUUCCUCGUUGAGUACUACAAUGGGCAAGAGCGAGAAAAAGGGAAAUUGCCAGAUCGAUUCUCAGUGAAGCAUUUCAGUGACUACCGCUCGGAGCUGACCGCGAGCUCGCUGGAGCUGAGUGACUCCGGCCUGUAUCUCUGUGCCAGCUACUCAGCACAGCCCUGCAGGCGCGGCAGCCUCCUGCACAGAAACACUCCGCCCCACUCAGGAAGCGGCAGCUGCCAGCCAGACAGGCUAGGGUCUUUCCCAGGCACGGUUCUGCUGCUUACAGAUGGGGUGGUUGUAGUGCUCACAGACAUCGUGCAGCUUCAGUAUCCUUGUUCCUGUUUGUAUACAUGA
Phyllostomus discolor (pale spear-nosed bat) is the source of this 613-nucleotide non-coding RNA. Lineage: Eukaryota; Metazoa; Chordata; Mammalia; Chiroptera; Phyllostomidae. The record is from the annotation of a RefSeq genome assembly.